Molecule: transfer RNA, 75 nt
Filed under: Caracal caracal
Lineage: Eukaryota; Metazoa; Chordata; Mammalia; Carnivora; Felidae
Description: tRNA-Leu
Rfam family: tRNA
About the family: Transfer RNA (tRNA) molecules are approximately 80 nucleotides in length.
Source: RNAcentral
GUUAAGGUGGCAGAGCCCGGUAACUGCAUAAAACUUAAGCUUUUACUGUCAGAGGUUCAAUUCCUCUCCUUAACA